This 1254-nucleotide ribosomal RNA is filed under the name Triatoma rubrofasciata (large kissing bug). Its description in RNAcentral is "16S ribosomal RNA". The stretch from base 821 to 1185 matches the Rfam family "Archaeal large subunit ribosomal RNA", at positions 2150 to 2716 of the family's 2987-position model. The record is from RNAcentral. Lineage: Eukaryota; Metazoa; Arthropoda; Insecta; Hemiptera; Reduviidae.
AAUUAAAAUCUUAUAAGGUUUAUAAGUUUUAUUUUGUAAAUAGAAAUAACUUAGUUUUUAGUAUAUUUUAUUGAAAGAAUUAUUUUUGUUAUAGUGAAUAGUACUGUGAAGGAUGAAUAUGUCUUUAAUUAGAAGUAAUUUUAAUUUAGUGUACCUUUUGUAUCAGGGUUUAUUAAUUUAUUAUAUUUAUUAUAAGUUUCCCGAAAUUAGAAGAAAUAUAAUUAUAUGUUAGUUAAUGUGUUAAAAUUAUUGAUAAUUUAAUUAUAGUAAUGAAAUGUUAUUCGUUUCUAAAUAUCUGGUUUUCUUGGAAUUAAAUUUAAUUUAGGAUUCUUAAGGGAUAAAAUAUAAUUCUAUUUUUUUUAUUUUAAGUUUCUAAUAAUUUUGGGGAUAAGCUCAAAGUUAAUUGUAUAAGUUUUGUGAUUAAUAAGAUUUUGUAGGCUUGAAAUCAGCCAUCAUUUAUUUCGUUAUGGAAAAUUCUUUUAUUUAAUUUAUUUUUUUUUCUUUAUUUUUUUACUUGAAUGAUUUGAUUAAUUUAUUAUUUUUUGUAAUAAUGAUUAAAUUAGUAUUUUAGUGAAUUAAAUUAUAGGAAUUCGGCAAGUUUAAUGUUUGCCUGUUUAACAAAAACAUGUCCUUUUGUUUAUUUAUUUAAGGUCUGGCCUGCCCAAUGAGGUUUUGAAUGGCCGCAGUAUCCUAACUGUGCUAAGGUAGCAUAAUCAUUUGUCUUUUAAUUGAGGGCUUGUAUGAAAGGUUGGACAAGAUAUUAACUUUCUUUAAUUUAAUUUUAAGAACUUAAUUUUUAAGUUAAAAAGCUUAAAUUUUUUUGUUGGACGAGAAGACCCUAUAGAUCUUUAUAGUUUUUAGUUUUAGUAAUUUAGUGGUUAAUUUAUUUGGAGUGAAAAAAUUAUUUUGUUGGGGUGACUGUAGAAUUUUAUGAACUUCUAUUUUUAUAUUUCAUAUGUUAGUGUUUUUUUGAUCCAUAUAUUUAUGAUUAGAAGAUUAAGUUACCUUAGGGAUAACAGCGUAAUUUCUUUGGAGAGUUCAUAUUGAUAAAGGAGUUUGCGACCUCGAUGUUGGAUUAAAAUGAGUUAUGGAUGCAGAAGUCUAUAUACUGGGUCUGUUCGACCCUUAAUUUUUUACAUGAUCUGAGUUCAGACCGGCGUAAGCCAGGUCAGUUUCUAUCCUCAAUUUUGAGAAUACAUUUUAGUACGAAAGGACCAUAUGUAUGAAAUACUUUUUUUGUUUUUGAUUAAUAUU